GGRACUGAGRACACGGYCCAGACUCCUACSGGAGGCAGCAGUAGGGAAUYYUCCGCAAUGGACGAAAGUCUGACGGAGCAACGCCGCGUGAGUGAUGAAGGUUUUCGGAUCGUAAAGCUCUGUUGUUAGGGAAGAACAAGUGCCGUUCAAAUAGGGCGGCACCUUGACGGUACCUAACCAGAAAGCCACGGCUAACUACGUGCCAGCAGCCGCGGUAAUACGUAGGUGGCAAGCGUUGUCCGGAAUUAUUGGGCGUAAAGGGCUCGCAGGCGGUUUCUUAAGUCUGAUGUGAAAGCCCCCGGCUCAACCGGGGAGGGUCAUUGGAAACUGGGGAACUUGAGUGCAGAAGAGGAGAGUGGAAUUCCACGUGUAGCGGUGAAAUGCGUAGAGAUGUGGAGGAACACCAGUGGCGAAGGCGACUCUCUGGUCUGUAACUGACGCUGAGGAGCGAAAGCGUGGGGAGCGAACAGGAUUAGAUACCCUGGUAGUCCACGCCGUAAACGAUGAGUGCUAAGUGUUAGGGGGUUUCCGCCCCUUAGUGCUGCAGCUAACGCAUUAAGCACUCCGCCUGGGGAGUACGGUCGCAAGACUGAAACUCAAAGGAAUUGACGGGGGCCCGCACAAGCGGUGGAGCAUGUGGUUUAAUUCGAAGCAACGCGAAGAACCUUACCAGGUCUUGACAUCCUCUGACAAUCCUAGAGAUAGGACGUCCCCUUCGGGGGCAGAGUGACAGGUGGUGCAUGGYUGUCGUCAGCUCGUGUCGUGAGAUGUUGGGUUAAGUCCCGCAACGAGCGCAACCCWUGAUCUUAGUUGCCAGCAUUCAGUUGGGCACUCUAAGGUGACUGC
Molecule: ribosomal RNA, 846 nt
Filed under: Bacillus amyloliquefaciens
Lineage: Bacteria; Bacillati; Bacillota; Bacilli; Caryophanales; Bacillaceae
Description: bacterial SSU rRNA
Rfam family: Bacterial small subunit ribosomal RNA
Source: RNAcentral